Molecule: ribosomal RNA, 495 nt
Filed under: uncultured bacterium
Lineage: Bacteria
Description: partial 16S ribosomal RNA
Rfam family: Bacterial small subunit ribosomal RNA
Source: RNAcentral
AUGCACGCUGGCGGCGUGCCUAAUACAUGCAAGUCGAGCGAACGGACGAGAAGCUUGCUUCUCUGAUGUUAGCGGCGGACGGGUGAGUAACACGUGGAUAACCUACCUAUAAGACUGGGAUAACUUCGGGAAACCGGAGCUAAUACCGGAUGAUAUUUUGAACCGCAUGGUUCAAAAGUGAAAGACGGUCUUGCUGUCACUUAUAGAUGGAUCCGCGCUGCAUUAGCUAGUUGGUAAGGUAAUGGCUUACCAAGGCAACGAUGCAUAGCCGACCUGAGAGGGUGAUCGGCCACACUGGAACUGAGACACGGUCCAGACUCCUACGGGAGGCAGCAGUAGGGAAUCUUCCGCAAUGGGCGAAAGCCUGACGGAGCAACGCCGCGUGAGUGAUGAAGGUCUUCGGAUCGUAAAACUCUGUUAUUAGGGAAGAACAUAUGUGUAAGUAACUGUGCACAUCUUGACGGUACCUAAUCAGAAAGCCACGGCUAACUACGU